UAUGUUUAUUCACCUGGAAAGCAGAAACUGUUGCUAACUGGAGCAGAAAAGUAAUUUCCAUUUGGAUGUGGCAAGAGAAGACUGAAGCAUCAAGAAGAACCCUCAUGUAAAAGAGACAGGGUCACCUUUGCCUGGGAGACCUGUGCAUGAACUUUUCUCAACAGGACUGCUUUCCAUGGACCAUCGACGUACUUAAUUUUACAAGACCUUCCAGGAUGUUGGUUGCUGGCCCUGCUAUUGAACUGAGCCCACGACCUGCCUU
Long non-coding RNA from Myotis davidii, 262 nucleotides. RefSeq lists it as uncharacterized. The transcript has 3 exons. The record is from RefSeq and is a predicted model, not a curated record. NCBI's taxonomy places the organism in Eukaryota, Metazoa, Chordata, Mammalia, Chiroptera, Vespertilionidae.